UACGUAGGGCGCAAGCGUUAUCCGGAAUUAUUGGGCGUAAAGAGCUCGUAGGCGGUUUGUCGCGUCUGCCGUGAAAGUCCGGGGCUCAACUCCGGAUCUGCGGUGGGUACGGGCAGACUAGAGUGAUGUAGGGGAGACUGGAAUUCCUGGUGUAGCGGUGAAAUGCGCAGAUAUCAGGAGGAACACCGAUGGCGAAGGCAGGUCUCUGGGCCACUACUGACGCUGAGGAGCGAAAGCAUGGGGAGCGAACAGG
This 253-nucleotide ribosomal RNA is filed under the name uncultured bacterium. RNAcentral's name for it is "partial 16S ribosomal RNA". It matches the Rfam family "Bacterial small subunit ribosomal RNA", at positions 524 to 776 of the family's 1533-position model. The record is from RNAcentral.